AGGAUGAGCUCGCGCCUGAUUAGCUAGUUGGUAAGGUAACGGCUUACCAAGGCCACGAUCAGUAGCUGGUUUGAGAGAACGAUCAGCCACACUGGGACUGAGACACGGCCCAGACUCCUCCGGGAGGCAGCAGUGAGGAAUUUUCCGCAAUGGGCGAAAGCCUGACGGAGCAAUACCGCGUGAGGGAUGAAGGAUUUUGGUCUGUAAACCUCUUUUCUCAAGAAAGAAGUUCUGACGGUACUUGAGGAAUAAGCAUCGGCUAACUCCGUGCCAGCAGCCGCGGUAAUACGGGGGAUGCAAGCGUUAUCCGGAAUCAUUGGGCGUAAAGCGCCUGUAGGUUGUUUAAUAAGUCUGUUGUUAAAGACUAGGGCUUAACCCUAGAAAAGCAAUGGAAACUACUAGACUAGAGUAUGGCAGGGGUAGAGGGAAUUUCUAGUGUAGCGGUGAAAUGCGUAGAUAUUAGAAAGAACACCGGUGGCGAAAGCGCUCUACUGGACCAUUACUGACACUCAGAGGCGAAAGCUAGGGUAGCAAAAGGGAUUAGAUACCCCUGUAGUCCUAGCCGUAAACGAUGGAUACUACAUGUUGUGUUUAUUUCACAGUAUGGUAGCUAACGCGUUAAGUAUCCCGCCUGGGGAGUACGCUCGCAAGGGUGAAACUCAAAGGAAUUGACGGGGGCCCGCACAAGCGGUGGAGCAUGUGGUUUAAUUCGAUGCAACGCGAAGAACCUUACCUGGUCUUGACAUCCACAGAACUUUCCAGAGAUGGAUUGGUGCCUUCGGGAACUGUGAGACAGGUGCUGCAUGGCUGUCGUCAGCUCGUGUUGUGAAAUGUUGGGUUAAGUCCCGUAACGAGCGCAACCCUUGUCCUUAUUUGCCAGCACUUCGGGUGGGAACUCUAAGGAGACUGCCGGUGACAAACCGGAGGAAGGUGAGGAUGACGUCAAGUCAGCAUGCCCCUUAUGUCCUGGGCUACACACGUGCUACAAUGGUUAGGACAAAGAGUUGCGAGCUUGUGAAAGUCAGCUAAUCUCGUAAACCUAGCCCAAGUUCAGAUUGUAGGCUGCAACUCGCCUACAUGAAGUUGGAAUCGCUAGUAAUCGCUGGUCAGCCAUACAGCGGUGAAUCCGUUCCCGGGCCUUGUACACACCGCCCGUCACACCAUGGGAGCUGGUCAUACCCGAAACCGUUAGCUUAACCUUUUGGAGAGCGGCGUCUAAGGUAGGGCUAGUGACUGGGGUGAAGUCGGAACAAGGUAGCCGUACUGGAAGGUGCGGCUGGAUCACCUCCUU
This 1291-nucleotide ribosomal RNA is filed under the name uncultured marine Prymnesiales. RNAcentral's name for it is "partial Bacterial small subunit ribosomal RNA". It matches the Rfam family "Bacterial small subunit ribosomal RNA", at positions 222 to 1532 of the family's 1533-position model. The record is from RNAcentral. Lineage: Eukaryota; Haptophyta; Prymnesiales.